CCCUUAGAUGUCCUGGGCCGCACGCGCGUUACACUGAUGCAUUCAACGAGCUUAUAACCUUGGCCGAGAGGCCUGGGCAAUCUUGUUAACGUGCAUCGUGAUAGGGAUAGAUUAUUGAAAUUAUUAAUCUUGAACGAGGAAUUCCUAGUAAACGCAGAUCAUCAAUCUGCAUUGAUUACGUCCCUGCCCUUUGUACACACCGCCCGUCGCACCUACCGAUUGGAUGGUCCGGUGAAGCCUCGGGAUUGUGGUUCUUGCCGCUUUAUUGUGGCGUGACCGCGAGAACUUGUCUAAACCUUAUUAUCUAGAGGAAGGUGAAGUCGUAACA
RNAcentral lists this ribosomal RNA (328 nucleotides) under uncultured eukaryote. Its description in RNAcentral is "partial 18S ribosomal RNA". It matches the Rfam family "Eukaryotic small subunit ribosomal RNA", at positions 1470 to 1796 of the family's 1831-position model. The record is from RNAcentral.